GUGGCUGUCGUAUAGUGGUUAGUACCUUCGGUUGUGGUCCGAAAAACCUGGGUUCGAUUCCCAGCAGCCACA
Molecule: transfer RNA, 72 nt
Filed under: Phaeodactylum tricornutum CCAP 1055/1
Lineage: Eukaryota; Bacillariophyta; Bacillariophyceae; Surirellales; Neidiaceae
Description: tRNA-His for anticodon GUG
Rfam family: tRNA
About the family: Transfer RNA (tRNA) molecules are approximately 80 nucleotides in length.
Source: Rfam by way of RNAcentral